GUGCUCACUUUGGCAGCACAUAUACUAAAAUUGGAAUGAUACAGAGAAGAUUACCACGGCCCCUGCACAAGGAUGACAUACAAAUUCGGGUAACAUUCCAUUAAAAA
This is a small nuclear RNA of Manis javanica (Malayan pangolin), 107 nucleotides long. The record is from RefSeq and is a predicted model, not a curated record. NCBI's taxonomy places the organism in Eukaryota, Metazoa, Chordata, Mammalia, Pholidota, Manidae.